This is a long non-coding RNA of Brassica rapa (field mustard), 1675 nucleotides long. RefSeq lists it as uncharacterized. NCBI's taxonomy places the organism in Eukaryota, Viridiplantae, Streptophyta, Magnoliopsida, Brassicales, Brassicaceae. The record is from RefSeq and is a predicted model, not a curated record.
UCUCUCUCCUCCUUCCUCCACAUCAUCGUUUUAGCAUUGGCAAAAUUAGACACGUGGCAGGUGAUUUUUUUUUGGUUUACGCUUGCUCUUUUUACGUUUUGAGUGUUGGGCCUCUUAUUUUGUCUUUUGUUAUUAUAGUUUUCUGGAGUUUGGACUUUUACAAGACGUUUUUGUUCAGACCAAUCACGUGUAGGGCGUUUCAUCAGCUUCUUAGCUUUAACAUUCCUAGCUCAGCAUCCUUGCGAAGCCGUCGAUCAACUCACUAUAACGUUUCUCAUUUGCAUUAAAACUUACUUUAAUCCGAGUUUUAACGUGAUUACCCCCACCUCCUACUCUCAAAACAUUCAAUUGGACUCAUCGUCUCCCAACUAAACCGACGGAGGCUCCGACUAUAAAUCUCCUAGCGAUGACAGCACAACUUCACCAAAUCGAGAAGAAAAUUCUCUGCUAAUUACCCACUCCGAGAAUGGCUAAUUCCUUCAACAUUCUUGCGGAUUUGAAAAACAGGGACCAGUCUCCAAGGAAGAUGACAGGCGUAAGAGUAUGUGAUCAGUGAUGCUACUGCGAUUGUCCAGACAAGUUUAUAGCAUCGUAUAAUAUCGUGGACCGUACUGUAUACCAGGCUCCACAGCGUUGUAGUGUCUUUGCAGCUCGAGUUGUUGGCUGUUUAUAAUAUUUAGAAGGCUUUCUCUGCAGCUGCAUUAAAGUAGGAGACCAUUAGCCAGGUUGAUGCCAAAAACCAGAAUGAGCCUUCUGAGACAAAGCCCCCAAUAAUACACAAUCUUUCACACCACUUCUCUUUCGAUUCAUCAAAAGAUGUCUUCAUAGAAAACAUGAAGCAACACACCUUAUAUAAGAAAAAAACGGAAUUGAACAGUAUAUAUGUCGAAUAAGUCAAGAGUUCUUUGAGCAACGCGUUUCUUCAGGCCGAUCUUGCUUUAGCAAAGGACUGCAACAGAGGCUCUUUUCUCAGGUUUUUCUUCUGGUACCUGGUACCUCAGCUCUUGCUGCCCUUAUUUUUGGAAGACACUCAAUGGUUGCAAAUGCAGGAGAUGGCAGAGCUGUUCUCUGUAGGAAUGGUGAAGCCAUAGACAUGUCUCAAGACCACAAACCAAUCUACUUACCGUAAAGAAGAAAGUCAAAGGAAGUGGCGGCUUUGACGAUGCCAGUUACUUAAAUGGCAUAGCGAUUAUGACAUGAAACUAUCACGAGGGUCAUGAUAUCCACUCAUAGAAGAGCCAGGAGAUUAAAAAGAUACAUUUAACAGAGGAAGACAAGUUUCUGAUAAUGGGAUGCGAAAAUUCAAAAGGUUUUUGUAUCUUUAGGUGUGAAUUACGUUGUCACCAUGACCCGAUAAAGCUUGCUUUGAGGUCUUUAAGGCUAGAUAAGUUUGCUAACCUAACAGUGGUUGUUUAAUUCUUGUCGGCUGAUGACAUGGCGAUGGUCGCUCCUCUGGUGGAGGAUCAAGUUUGACAGAGAUUGAGGGCCUUAUUUGACGGUUGAAUGAAAAGAUAGUAACAUUCCCUUUUGUGUUCUUGGCUGAGCUUUUUCUUUCUGUUGUAUAUUUGGUGUCUGUAUGUAACUUCCAGUGUUUAUGUGCCCCAGUUUUGUGUAAGCGGUUAUGUGUUCAUGAAUGGAUUGAAAGUUUUUAUAUGUACAUGCUUCAUUUAGCUUA